CCUUCUCCCAAGAUCUCUCCUCUUUAUGUAGUCGUCCGGGGUGCUCAUUCGGGAAGGGAGAAGAGAUACGAACUGCUGAUUUCGGGGCGUGAUGUUGGAGGGCAAAUCGCGGACGAAGAGGGAGAAUGGCUGGAUCUCGGGAGGAAGGCGUGAUCCGUGGAGUGCCAGAUUGAUUGUAGAUGGCCGGAUCAAUGGAGCUGGCGACGGGAGGCUGAUGCGCAAACGGAAGAACAUGAGAUGGCCGCGGGAUCGAUGGGAGGCUGAUGCGUGAACGUCUGGAUCUCGGAGAAGACGGAGACGGAGCUAGAGACAGAUGCCGACGGCUGGAAUCGCGGAGGAGUGAUUGCUGGCUGCACCGGCAGAUGGCGGAAUACCCGGGGAUGAAGAUGAUGCCGUGAAUCUCGGCUGCUGGGAGGGGCUGAUCGGAGGAUCGAUGGGAGGACGCCGUGGACGGCCGUGAUGCGCAGCGGGA
RNAcentral lists this long non-coding RNA (472 nucleotides) under Phoenix dactylifera (date palm). RNAcentral's name for it is "long non-coding RNA (PDAC_LNC018259)". The record is from RNAcentral. Lineage: Eukaryota; Viridiplantae; Streptophyta; Magnoliopsida; Arecales; Arecaceae.